GGCGGCCGUAGCGCGGUGGUCCCACCUGACCCCAUGCCGAACUCAGAAGUGAAACGCCGUAGCGCCGAUGGUAGUGUGGGGUCUCCCCAUGCGAGAGUAGGGAACUGCCAGAC
RNAcentral lists this ribosomal RNA (113 nucleotides) under Citrobacter koseri. RNAcentral also lists the same sequence under 13 other names. The record is from RNAcentral. Lineage: Bacteria; Pseudomonadati; Pseudomonadota; Gammaproteobacteria; Enterobacterales; Enterobacteriaceae.